Long non-coding RNA from Lynx canadensis (Canada lynx), 588 nucleotides. RefSeq lists it as uncharacterized. Lineage: Eukaryota; Metazoa; Chordata; Mammalia; Carnivora; Felidae. The record is from RefSeq and is a predicted model, not a curated record. The transcript has 3 exons.
CCAAGGGUCCCAGGCCAGGCUCUGGAGCUGCUGCCCUUGGGAUUAAGGCCCGAGGCGGGAAGGGAGACGCCUGAUAGAUGAGGGAGGGGGCUCUGGGUGAUCACUGCUCAGCUGGGGGACCCUCACACCCGAGGGUCCCACUAACGGACAGCCAUUAGCCCCCGUCCCUAUUCUACCCUUGUACAGUCCGGGAGCCUGAGGCUCAGACCCAGGAACCGAGCUGCCCAACGCCACACAGACGCCAGGUGUCCUGACUCGCAGCCUGGGUCCGCGGCAGUCACCUGAGCCCGAGCCCGCUGCCCUGCCGCCGGGACACCACGACACCGGGACACCAGGACACCGGGACAGGCACGGGGAGAAGGCCGGCGAUGCUCGCGGUGGGCCCUGUCCUCUUUCCUCUGCCCAGCUCCGGGAGGGCCUUGGGAACGAAGCCCAGGCCCCCUCCCCCCACCCACAGUUCCAGGUUGGGCCGGGACUCCGUUGUACAGAUGAGGACACUGAGAUUCCCCCAAGCUCAACGCUGCACGGGCCCAGGACGGCCACUCCAGGGGCUGGAGCUCUGAAGCCCAUGGCACUGGUUCAAAUCCG